This 494-nucleotide ribosomal RNA is filed under the name uncultured bacterium. Its description in RNAcentral is "bacterial SSU rRNA". It matches the Rfam family "Bacterial small subunit ribosomal RNA", at positions 8 to 521 of the family's 1533-position model. The record is from RNAcentral.
AGAGUUUGAUCCUGGCUCAGAGUGAACGCUGGCGGCGUGCCUAACACAUGCAAGUCGAACGAUGAUAGGAAGCUUGCUUCCUUGAUUAGUGGCGCACGGGUGAGUAUACCAUAGAUAAUGUACCUCUUAGUUCGGGAUAGCCACUGGAAACGGUGAUUAAUACCGGAUACUCCUUCUCGUUAUAAGGCGAGUCGGGAAAGUUUUUUCGCUAAGAGAUCAGUCUAUGUCCUAUCAGCUAGUUGGUGAGGUAAUGGCUCACCAAGGCUAUGACGGGUAUCUGGUUUGAGAGGAUGAUCAGACACACUGGAACUGAGACACGGUCCAGACUCCUACGGGAGGCAGCAGUGAGGAAUAUUGCACAAUGGAGGAAACUCUGAUGCGGCAACGCCGCGUGGAGGAUGACGCAUUUCGGUGUGUAAACUCCUUUUAAGAGGGAAGAUAAUGACGGUACCUCUUGAAUAAGCACCGGCUAACUCCGUGCCAGCCGCCGCGGU